Molecule: ribosomal RNA, 498 nt
Filed under: uncultured bacterium
Lineage: Bacteria
Description: bacterial SSU rRNA
Rfam family: Bacterial small subunit ribosomal RNA
Source: RNAcentral
ACUCAAAGGAAUAGACGGGGGCCCGCACAAGCAGCGGAGCAUGUGGUUUAAUUCGAAGCAACGCGAAGAACCUUACCAGGUCUUGACAUCCAGGUAAAGCCAUAGAGAUAUGGGGUGCCUUCGGGCAACCUGAGACAGGUGGUGCAUGGUUGUCGUCAGCUCGUGUCGUGAGAUGUUGGGUUAAGUCCCGCAACGAGCGCAACCCUUACGAUUGGUUGCUAACAGGUAAUGCUGAGGACUCCAAUAGGACUGCCGGGGACAACUCGGAGGAAGGUGGGGAUGAGGUCAAAUCAUCAUGCCCCUUAUGACCUGGGCUACACACGUGCUACAAUGGCCAGAACAGAGAGAAGCGAAGUCGUAAGGCGGAGCGAAUCUUUAAAAACUGGUCCCAGUUCGGAUUGUGGGCUGCAACCCGCCCACAUGAAGUCGGAGUUGCUAGUAAUCGCGAAUCAGCAUGUCGCGGUGAAUACGUUCCCGGGCCUUGUACACACCGCCCGU